UAAGGAAUAUUGGACAAUGGAGGCAACUCUGAUCCAGCCAUGCCGCGUGAAGGAAUAAGGCCCUAUGGGUUGUAAACUUCUUUUAGACGGGACAAAACCCCUUUACGUGUAGAGGGUUGAUGGUACUGUCAGAAUAAGCAUCGGCUAACUUCGUGCCAGCAGCCGCGGUAAUACGAAGGAUGCAAGCGUUAUCCGGAAUUAUUGGGUUUAAAGGGUGCGUAGGCGGACUAAUAAGUCAGUGGUGAAAGCCUGCAGCUUAACUGCAGAAUUGCCAUUGAUACUGUUAGUCUUGAGUACAGUUGAGGUAGGCGGAAUGUGUCAUGUAGCGGUGAAAUGCUUAGAUAUGACACAGAACACCGAUUGCGAAGGCAGCUUGCUAAGCUGUAACUGACGCUGAGGCACGAAAGCGUGGGGAGCAAACA
RNAcentral lists this ribosomal RNA (422 nucleotides) under uncultured bacterium. RNAcentral describes it as "bacterial SSU rRNA". It matches the Rfam family "Bacterial small subunit ribosomal RNA", at positions 355 to 774 of the family's 1533-position model. The record is from RNAcentral.